This is a long non-coding RNA of Dicentrarchus labrax (European seabass), 2891 nucleotides long. RefSeq lists it as uncharacterized. The record is from RefSeq and is a predicted model, not a curated record. The transcript has 2 exons. NCBI's taxonomy places the organism in Eukaryota, Metazoa, Chordata, Actinopteri, Moronidae.
GAACACGUCGGUGCUGGUUAGGAUCAAAGUCCUGGGCUGGAGGACAGGAGAUGAGGCGGAGCCUGAACCAGAGGAGAGUCCUGAGAGAGUGGAGACUUGGCUGGGCAGACUGCUGGGGACCUGGACCUGAAGGAAAGGGACAAAGAGCAGUUAUGUGCAGGAACUAUGUGAACAGCUGGUCGCAGUCAGCGUGUGCAGCUUCCUGUCGUGUUGUCGUCACACUGAGGUUGCCACUGAAGCACUGGGCGGACGGAUACACCACGUUUAACUCCUCUAAAAUCACAAACUACAAUUAAAAUUCUUACCUGGAAGACCAGCAGGUACAGCAGGACGUUGAAGGAGCGUGAGGACGAGGACGCUGCGCUGGCCGGAGUCUUCCUCUCUGCCACGAUGAAGGUCAGGUCUCCCAUCUCUUCUUCACUGGGAUAAAUAAACUUCACCCUGCUGCUGUGGACCAGCUCGUAGUUCUGCAUCUUACCUGCAGGGGGAGACAAAUCCCAUCUGUUACCAUUGUCAAGUUAACACCAGCUCAGAUAGAUACAUGUAGAGAUUGAUUGAUUGAUGCACUUUAUUGAUUCCAAGAUGGAAAAUUAUUUUGUUAAAGCAGCGAGAUAUCCAGACAUUGCGGAUAUACUACAAUACAAUAUAAAUAUAAUAAAAUAUAAACAUAAAAUAAAAUACUAUACACAUCAGACAAGUGUGCAAAGACGUAUGGAGGUAGAGAAGGAGUUUGUGCAAAUUAACAGAAGGAGCAGACAAAGACAGAAGUGAGGUGUUGUAGAUCUAUUUAUUUAGGUUGGUCAGAUUUCCUAUAUCGGUCCUUGUGAGAGCGAAACAGAAACAGCCUGUUAGAGAAAGUAUUCCACUGUGGUGGGCAGGAUUAUCCAAAAUGGACUAACAGUUCGUGUCUUCUCCACCACAACUUCAAAGGUAUCUGGUUUUGCAACAAAUUACGGAGGCAGCAUUAAUCUGUUUAUUAAGUCUGUUGAUGUUGCCAACAGACUGAGAGAAGACUUCCACCAUUGCGCUGCUCACAUUGAAAGAUCUCAGCUUCCUCUGGAAAUAGAGUCUGCUCAUCCCCCUUCUUAUACACAGCCUCAGUGCUGCUCUUGCAGUUAAGUCUGUGCUCAAUGUGGGAGAAAAAAACUUUAAUUUAUUCUAACUUUGCAGACAUAUAAUUAGGGCUACGAUGCCAUAAACCAUGAAAGUCAAUGUUUUUAGAAGGUGGGUCGCAUUAUUAUUUGAGGACUCUCUGUUCUCUUUCUUCCUGUUACAUUAAUAGACAGUAGCAUUAUGGGUUUAACCUUAAUAUUGUUAGGCUAGCAUGUUUCUUCAUGUCCGUUAAUAUCGUGUAUUUUAGAGUAUGUCAGACCUAAAAGUGUUCAAGAAGCCCACUUUAACCCUCAGGAAUUUGUAACGGCUUGUGUAACAUGUUUGAUGAUAUUAACACCGUGACAGAGUCAUAAUAAGAAGCUCAAAGAAGUCUGAAACAUACUAAGUCUCUUAGAGUCAUGUAUGUGGAGGGCAGAGCGUUGUAUCCCUGCGUUGUUACCCGUGUUUGUGUUGGUGAACUGGGAGUAGAAGUCCUGAUCUGAUGGUUCUGGAGGAGGAAGCUGCUGCUGCAGGCUGAGAGCCGACAUCAGUUCCUGAAGGAAGACGCCCGUCCCGUAACUGUCCCUGCUGAGACAGCACACGAUGUGAUCGGCCGAACGACCUUCAAACACAGGGGAGAACGAGAGAGAGAGAGAGAGGAUCUAUGGAUAGUUCAGAGAGUGACACAGAGUGAUAUUACACAGAGUUUGUGUGACCUCUGCAAACACCAAGUGCGUUCACAUCCACUGACCUACGACUCUGAAGUACUGGUCGAACAGUCCCACAUUGACAGACAGCAGCUCAGACAGUCUGAUGGACAGACAGCAGCACAGACAGACGUCCGGAUCUCCAGAGUCCAUUACGUCCAACACUGCCAGAGAGAGACAGACAGAGAGACAGACGGACAGAGAGACGGACAGAGAGAGAGACAGACAGAGAGAGAUACAAAGAAGAGACUUAACAAAAGUCUACAGCCCCAGCAGUUGGUAUUUUGUAUGCAACACUCACACACCAGGUUUGGUAUGUGAAUGUCUAUACAGUUACCAUCUUAGUGGGUAUAAGGAAUGUAUCCAUGGCAACAGGAGCAGUAUUAUUCUCUGAUUACAUGAUGCUAUUUUAAAUGUAAUCUUUUCACACUCUGACUGAGCCGAUCAUGUCAGUUCAUCCUACCUGAGUGAUGACCGAGCGUGGAGGCGGAGUCUUCCAACAGGAAGUAGAUUGUAUCGGUGGAGAGCAGCAGACAGCAGGUGAGCUCGGACUCAGGAGACUUGUAGAGAACCACAGACAGCCACAGGACCUGUCUCACCUCCUCUGCCUCAGACUGAUUUAACAGAAAGCACAAGAAUAUAUAAUAUAACAAACACUGACCGAAGAAUUUUCCUGAAAUUAAAAGUGAUCGAUGUUGUGGGAGAACAAUCUUUCUUUGAACUGGGACAGAAAAAAAAUCCUCAAAAAAGAAACUGACUUCAGUCAUCGAAUGAUUUCUCUUAUGUCUGUAAGGAGUGAAUGUUUAGUGACUAUUGUGUCACAACCCGACUCUACAUGCUGUCUUUAUCUUGGGCUCUGCUGAACGAACUAAAGGCAAAGUUGGAAAAACCUAAAGUUUAGAGCCGAAAUGAUCAGUCGAUCAAGAUAAAAAUUAAUUGGAAACUACUUUAGUCGGUCUUAUUAUAGUUCUGACUCUUCUAGUUUUGCACUAAUUAACAUUUUAUGAUGUCACUUUUGGCUCUGGGAACAUAAAUCAGUCAUUAAAUGUAUUGUUAGUUGCAAACCUAGUAAAAUUAAAAUCUUAAAACAAC